GCCGGCUUAGCUCAGUUGGUAGAGCAUCUGAUUUGAAUCAGAGGGUCGCGUGUUCAAGUCAUGUAGCCGGC
RNAcentral lists this transfer RNA (71 nucleotides) under Streptococcus mitis. RNAcentral's name for it is "tRNA-Thr". It matches the Rfam family "tRNA". From Rfam's summary of the family: Transfer RNA (tRNA) molecules are approximately 80 nucleotides in length. Their secondary structure includes four short double-helical elements and three loops (D, anti-codon, and T loops). The record is from RNAcentral. Lineage: Bacteria; Bacillati; Bacillota; Bacilli; Lactobacillales; Streptococcaceae.